This 326-nucleotide ribosomal RNA is filed under the name Pseudo-nitzschia fraudulenta. Its description in RNAcentral is "partial Bacterial large subunit ribosomal RNA". It matches the Rfam family "Bacterial large subunit ribosomal RNA", at positions 2586 to 2925 of the family's 2925-position model. The record is from RNAcentral. Lineage: Eukaryota; Bacillariophyta; Bacillariophyceae; Bacillariales; Bacillariaceae.
AAUUAAAGUGGUACGCGAGCUGGGUUCAGAACGUCGUGAGACAGUUUGGUCCCUAUCUGCCGUGGGCGUCGAUAAUUGAGAGGAGUUGACCCUAGUACGAGAGGACCGGGUUGAACAUACCUCUGGUGUACCUGUCAUGCCGCCAGGCGUGCAGCAGGGUAGCUAUGUAUGGACCGGGAUAAUCGCUGAAUGCAUCUAAGCGAGAAACCCACCUCAAAACCAGGUUUCCCUUGAGAGCCGUCGUAGACGACGACGUCGAUAGGCUGGGUGUGGACGCGCCGCGAGGCGUGGAGCUAACCAGUACUAAUUGCUCGAUAGGCUUGAUC